AAACCUAUUGGCGCCCUCCCAGGUAUUCUCCUUUGUUUAGGAAUACAGAGCACUAUCUCUCUCUCUCUCUCUCUCUCACACACACACACAAGCACACAAUCACCACCAAAUCUCACCUUACCUCAGGCGCUUACCACCGGGAAGCAUUCGACAUCGCAGAUUGCCACCGUCACAAAUCGCCACUGUUGUAAAUCACCACCGCCAUGGCCAUAAUACCAGGUCUUUGGAUUCAUGAAAUGGGAUGCUCACUAUUGUACAAGGAAAACCAUCAGAGGCAGUUGUGGAUAUCCAGUAUUCAAUGAUGCAACAAAAUUUGUCCAUAGCUAAUCAAAAAAAGCAUGAUGUAUAGAUUAGUGAUGCAAUAUACAGAGGUGUCGCCAUGUACUUGAGAUGAUUGUUUUGAGGCACUGCUUGUACUUGAAUUACUGUACUUGACUAUUUCUGAAGUGGACCCUGCUUAUAUUGGCACAUAUUUGGGAAAUAUACAUUAGAAUUAGCUGAUACUUGGAUAAUAUAAUUUCAAUUAUUCAAUUACGUUUCAAGAUUUUUAUAUGAUUCAAUAGUUACAUUAAGAUAAGGGGGGAACUAAGUAAAUUAAAGAUAGAGGAUGCUUGGCCUAGCAAUACACACCACAUCACACCACACCACACUAUAUCUGUGAACUCCCUCCAAGAAUCAAGUUAAUGUUGUCAUUGGUUUCAUUGAUACUGGUUAGUUUUCUCUCCCUUUCACAGACUAAUUGGUUCAUUUAUUAGACAAUGCUACCAAUAUAUGUGUGUACAAAUGAGGCAUUCUUCAUUUAUUAGUUCAAUUGAGGAUGCAAAAAGAGUCUCUGGCUCUUCCUAGGAUUAGUAGUUAAAAAUUGAACACGAACCAGUCGCUCUGUAGCUAGGGGUCAAGCCCAAUAAUGGGUUUCUCAAGUUUGAUUUAGAAACUCAACAAGUUUCAAUAAUUUUUGCAUGUUGACUGUUAUGCUACCUAACAUACGACCACCCUCUUUUUUUUUGAACUUGAGACCACUUGUUUAAAAAUUAAAUGCUAAGCAGGACACAAGCGGAGUUCGAGUUGAGUUCCAAUUUAUGAAUAUGUUCAACCUUAACUUAUCUACCUAACAAGUUUGAUCAAAUCAAAACAAGUCAAGCUCAACUGUAACAAAGUAGCACCUAAUGAUUCAAUGGGUUUCAUAUUUAACUGCUAAUCUCUCGCGCUCAUAUUUAACUGCCAACUUGUGUUGUCGAUCUGAUGAUCUAAUGAUUUUGCGGUGGUCUCAACCAUGUUUUUUGGUCCAUGGACUUUUAUCCAAAGAAAACUAUCAUUUAAAGCUAUUGAAUCAUUAGAACAUUCAGGUCUCUUCACUGAUUAAUAUAUCAGAGUUUUUUGAGAGCCCUUAGCCUAAUGUCUAUUUAUAGUUUGUUUAGAAAAGACAUUGCAUGAAUUACAAAAACUUGUGCAUGUUACCUAGCUCAAGCACACUACUAUCCCUGUUCUCUUUCAUGUAAUGUUGUCACCCAUGUGACCGCUCUUUGUGCAGGCUACAAAAAGGAGCCUCUUGGGAUUUUUACAUUUUUUUAGAAACCACUGAGUGCUUCGCUCAAGCUCUUUUGAAGCAGGCUUUGAGUGAGGAUCUAGUUUCUGCCCCUUAAUCUUGUUUUCACAAUUUUUAUUUCCAAAAUAUCAAGGUUAAUGUUAAGUCAAAUAGGCCAAUUUUAGGUAACUAAAACCAGUGUCCCAAAACUAAUGCAACAUUAUUUUUUUCCUGUGCUAAGAUAAGCUUAAAACACAACCACAAUGGGACUUCAGAACCACUGCUUUGUUUCAAACUGCCACACUAAAGUUAGUCUCCAAAUUGUCACAAUAAAGAAGAGCAAAAAAUAUCAUUUUGGUUGGCCCAAACUUACUUAGGAAGCUCCUGAAAGUUGGUUAUUUCCAGGAAUAAUUUAUGAAUCUUAAGUUUGUUUCUAGUGUUGAUGUGCCAAUUUUGUAUUAAAGUAAAAGAACUAUUGGACUACUUAGUAAUUUGGGGUUGAAGGAGUACCAAUAUUUUUCAAAAAUUAUUUUCUUGGGAAAACGAAUUUCAUUUUAUGCCUAUUUCAGUUGUCUUGGUAUUGUUUGAAUGAUGUGUGAUACUGAUCUCGCCACCAUCACCAUGUGUAAUGAUAUUAUGGUUUUAUUGAUAUGGAAUGGACAUGUUUUAUGAUCUUAGUGGCUUUGACUUUGCUUUAUCUAUUUAUUUUUGGCCGUGUUUGUGUAUAAAUAACAUGGUUAGUUGGUGGUUUAACUUCAGGUUUUCUAGUUGGCAAAAUUGAUGUUCACAUUUUACAUGGGUUCUCUGUUUUAAGUCCAUUCAUGACUUUAAAUUGUAGUUUUAAGAUCAAUUGAAAUUUAAAUCAUAAAAUAAAAAAGUGUUACCAAUUGACAGAGAACGCCCGAUUUUGGCUUUGGUCAUACUUCUUGAUCUCAAAGGGUGAAUUGGAAAUUCCUACAAAAUUGAUCUCAAGCUUGCUUGGAGAUUAUAAAACCUAGCAGAUUUAUGGCUUUAAUAACCAUACAAUGUUAGUGAAAAUUUUUAUUCUCUUUGUUAAAGUAGCGUUAUUCAGUGUAAAAUUGUAUGAAUCGAUAUAGAAGUCAAGUGUUCUUUAUCCACUAUUAAAAUUGUGUGUUUAAAAUUCAUGUUCCAUUUUUUCAUUAAAUCUCUAGUCACAAUGCAUAGGUUCAUAGAUGUGGGAAGUAAGUAGAUAUUCUCUAAUAGUUAAGAUGUCUUGAUGUAAUUAACCUUAUUUUUUAUAUUGUGCUGCUAACAGUAAUCUGAGAAAAUGAGAUUAUGGAAUAGCUAUUGGCCAACAAGGCUCUUUUAAGAAACCAUGUCCUCUAGGCUUUGGUUAUUUCAAAGAGGGCUAUGUGAGAAAUUCAUUGGGCUCAAUUGAAAGUCUGUGAUCAAGUUUUAAAAAGAAAGGCUUAGAUUAGCAAGAUUUGCCCCCAAAGAAACCUAGGAAGUACUUUCUAAUUU
Long non-coding RNA from Camellia sinensis, 3007 nucleotides. RefSeq lists it as uncharacterized. NCBI's taxonomy places the organism in Eukaryota, Viridiplantae, Streptophyta, Magnoliopsida, Ericales, Theaceae. The record is from RefSeq and is a predicted model, not a curated record.